RNAcentral lists this ribosomal RNA (422 nucleotides) under uncultured bacterium. Its description in RNAcentral is "bacterial SSU rRNA". It matches the Rfam family "Bacterial small subunit ribosomal RNA", at positions 355 to 774 of the family's 1533-position model. The record is from RNAcentral.
UAAGGAAUAUUGGACAAUGGUCGCAAGACUGAUCCAGCCAUGCCGCGUGCAGGAAGACGGCCCUAUGGGUUGUAAACUGCUUUUGUACCAGAGAAAACCUAUCUACGUGUAGAUAGCUGAUAGUAUGGUAAGAAUAAGCAUCGGCUAACUUCGUGCUAGCAGCCGCGGUAAGACGAGGGAUGCAAGCGUUAUCCGGAUUCAUUGGGUUUAAAGGGUGCGUAGGCGGGCUUGUAAGUCAGUGGUGAAAUCUCUCAGCUUAACUGAGAAACUGCCAUUGAUACUGCAGGCCUAGAGUAUAGAUGACGUUGGCGGAAUAUGACAUGUAGUGGUGAAAUACUUAGAUAUGUCAUAGAACACCGAUUGCGAAGGCAGCUAACGAAACUAUAACUGACGCUGAGGCACGAAAGUGCGGGGAUCAAACA